AGUGAACGCUGGCGGUAGGCCUAACACAUGCAAGUCGAACGGCAGCACAGUAAGAGCUUGCUCUUACGGGUGGCGAGUGGCGGACGGGUGAGGAAUACAUCGGAAUCUACUUUUUCGUGGGGGAUAACGUAGGUAAACUUACGCUAAUACCGCAUACGACCUACGGUUGAAAGCAGGGGAUCUUCGGACCUUGCGCGAUUGAAUGAGCCGAUGUCGGAUUAGCUAGUUGGCGGGGUAAAGGCCCACCAAGGCGACGAUCCGUAGCUGGUCUGAGAGGAUGGUCAGCCGCACUGGAACUGAGACACGGUCCAGACGCCUAAGGGAGGCAGCAGUGGGGAAUAGUGGACAAAGGGCGCAAGCCUGAUCCAGCCAUACCGCGUGGGUGAAGAAGGCCUUCGGGUUGUAAAGCCCUUUUGUUGGGAAAGAAAAGCAGCAGGUUAAGACCCAGCUGUUCUGACGGUACCCAAAAAAUAAGCACCGGCUAACUUCGUG
Molecule: ribosomal RNA, 492 nt
Filed under: uncultured bacterium
Lineage: Bacteria
Description: partial 16S ribosomal RNA
Rfam family: Bacterial small subunit ribosomal RNA
Source: RNAcentral